RNAcentral lists this ribosomal RNA (497 nucleotides) under uncultured bacterium. RNAcentral describes it as "partial 16S ribosomal RNA". It matches the Rfam family "Bacterial small subunit ribosomal RNA", at positions 28 to 507 of the family's 1533-position model. The record is from RNAcentral.
GAUGAACGCUGGCGGCGUGCCUAAUACAUGCAAGUCGAGCGAACAGAUGAGGAGCUUGCUCCUCUGACGUUAGCGGCGGACGGGUGAGUAACACGUGGAUAACCUACUUAUAAGACUGGGAUAACUUCGGGAAACCGGAGCUAAUACCGGAUAAUAUAUUGAACCGCAUGGUUCAAUAGUGAAAGACGGUUUUGCUGUCACUUAUAGAUGGAUCCGCGCCGCAUUAGCUAGUUGGUAAGGUAACGGCUUACCAAGGCAACGAUGCGUAGCCGACCUGAGAGGGUGAUCGGCCACACUGGAACUGAGACACGGUCCAGACUCCUACGGGAGGCAGCAGUAGGGAAUCUUCCGCAAUGGGCGAAAGCCUGACGGAGCAACGCCGCGUGAGUGAUGAAGGUCUUCGGAUCGUAAAACUCUGUUAUUAGGGAAGAACAAAUGUGUAAGUAACUAUGCACGUCUUGACGGUACCUAAUCAGAAAGCCACGGCUAACUACGUG